GGUAGACAUACAUACAUUGUAGUUCAAACCGAGCAUCAUAAUGGAGAAGAAAGGUUAAUUAAAUGACUUUGAACAUGGCAUGACUGUUGGUGCUGAAAGGGUUUGAUUUGAGUAUUUCAGAAAAGACUGAUCUACUGGUAUAUUCACACUCAACCAUCUCUAGGGUUUACAGAAUGGUACUGUAAAGGGAAAAAAUGCAGUGAGCAGCGAUUCUGUAGUCAAAAAUGCCUUGAUUGCAAAGGUCUGAGGAGAAUUGCCAGACUGGUUUGAGCUGAUACAAAAGCAAAAUUAAGUCAGAUAACCCCACAUUACAACCGAGGUAUGCAUAAGAGAAUCCCUGAUUACACAGCACAUCAAAUCCUGAGGCAAAUGGGCUAUAGCAGCAGAAAACCACAUUUGGUGCCACUCCUGUCAGCUAAGAACAGGGAAAUGAGGCAACAAUUUGGACAGGCUCACCAUAAACGACACUAAAAGAUCGCAAAAAUGUUGCCUCAGGGUCAACAUGGGUCAACUCUGCCUUACAUCAACAUUUCAGGCUGGAGAUAUAAUGGCAUAAGGAUAUUUUCUUAGCACAAUUUUGGCCAAUUAGUACCAAUUGUCUUUGUUGGAAUGCCACAGCCUACCCGAGUAUUGUUUCAGGCAGUUCUGAAGGCAAAAGGGGUCCAACCCAGCACUAGAGAGGUGUUCCUAGGACCUAAUGAAGUUUGAAGUUGCCAGUGAGUGUAGAUAAAUGUUUUAGGUGUACGGGAAAUCAUUAAAUGUUUGUUUAAGUUGUACAGAUGAAAAUUCAGCCGACUCACUGUUCACACCAAAUGGGGAACAAGAAAGGCUAGGCAACCCGAUCUUUUGACAACAGCCUCCACCAUUCUAUUCUAAAAAUGUCAAUAAUAUACGUGUAUAUCUGCUAUAUAAUAAUGUAUUUGUUUUAAAAGAUUAUGUGGGACAUGUUUUUUUUUUAAACAAAUGCAUAUUUAUCCUUUCUAUCUGUAAAUAAUCUUGAACAUAUACUGAGUGUAUGACAAUCAAACUGCAUUAAUUAAAUAACAAAAUUGCAUUAUUCCAAAAGCACCUAAGACUGUAUGGCUACUUUAUGAUAGCAUAUAGAUAUUUGUGACUAUUAUAUUGUAAGUUACAUUUGAAUGGGAUUUUGUCCAAAGAAGUGCUUAUUAAUCUUUUAGUUGCUAAAUACUUUGCCUAAAACUAUUGUCUAUACGUUAAGACUGUGUGGGCUCCGCCCCGCCUGCCUGUGCUUUGUUUCGCAACAGAGUGCUGGAUCGAUAGGGGGCCAAUCAUCUCUAAUUGAGACCCUUAUAAAGACUCUGGGCGGCUCCGACUCACUCUCUCUCUCUCUUGAAUCUGGCUUCUUCAGACCACAGCCCUGACGGCCACACUGAGAAUGCAGACGAUGGUGGUGGAAUUAAUAACCUGGAUCAGGAGUCCUCUGACAGCAGAUCUGAAUGGGCACCUGAUGGUGAAGACAUUACAUGUGAGGAAAAGACACAUACUAGAGGGAGUCGAGGACUUGGCUGUUCUACAAAAUGUCACUAAGGGAUGCAACUGACAGCUGAAGUAGGAUCUUUUUUGUUUUUUGGCCAUGACAAUGCUUUGACAGUUGAUAAUAAACUGAUAAUUACGAUACUAUGUGCACACCAUUGUUUUUAUGGG
This is a long non-coding RNA of Engraulis encrasicolus (European anchovy), 1665 nucleotides long. RefSeq lists it as uncharacterized. The transcript has 3 exons. NCBI's taxonomy places the organism in Eukaryota, Metazoa, Chordata, Actinopteri, Clupeiformes, Engraulidae. The record is from RefSeq and is a predicted model, not a curated record.